CCUACGGGUGACAGCAGUGAGGAAUAUUGGUCAAUGGGAGGAAUCCCGAACCAGCCAUGCCGCGUGCAGGACGACGGCUCUACGAGUUGUAAACUGCUUUUGUACCGGGGUAAAAUGCUCUACGAGUAGGGUUUUGCAAGUACGGUCCGAAUAAGGAUCGGCUAACUCCGUGCCAGCAGCCGCGGUAAUACGGAGGAUCCGAGCGUUAUACGGAUUUAUUGGGUUUAAAGGGUGCGUAGGUGGUUUUAUAAGUUAGCGGUGAAAUACCGAUGCUCAACAUCGGGGCUGCAGUUAAUACUGUAGGACUAGAGAACAGAUGCAGCAGGCGGAAUGUGUAGUGUAGCGGUGAAAUGCAUAGAUAUUACACAGAACACCGAUUGCGAAGGCAGCUUGCUAGGCCGGAUCUGACACUGAUGCACGAAAGCGUGGGGAUCGAACAGGAUUAGAUACCCGGGUAGUC
Molecule: ribosomal RNA, 460 nt
Filed under: uncultured bacterium
Lineage: Bacteria
Description: partial 16S ribosomal RNA
Rfam family: Bacterial small subunit ribosomal RNA
Source: RNAcentral